This 455-nucleotide ribosomal RNA is filed under the name uncultured Streptococcus sp. Its description in RNAcentral is "bacterial SSU rRNA". It matches the Rfam family "Bacterial small subunit ribosomal RNA", at positions 925 to 1382 of the family's 1533-position model. The record is from RNAcentral. Lineage: Bacteria; Bacillati; Bacillota; Bacilli; Lactobacillales; Streptococcaceae.
ACAAGCGGUGGAGCAUGUGGUUUAAUUCGAAGCAACGCGAAGAACCUUACCAGGUCUUGACAUCCCGAUGCUAUUUCUAGAGAUAGAAAGUUACUUCGGUACAUCGGUGACAGGUGGUGCAUGGUUGUCGUCAGCUCGUGUCGUGAGAUGUUGGGUUAAGUCCCGCAACGAGCGUAACCCCUAUUGUUAGUUGCCAUCAUUCAGUUGGGCACUCUAGCGAGACUGCCGGUAAUAAACCGGAGGAAGUGGGGAUGACGUCAAAUCAUCAUGCCCCUUAUGACCUGGGCUACACACGUGCUACAAUGGUUGGUACAACGAGUUGCGAGUCGGUGACGGCGAGCUAAUCUCUUAAAGCCAAUCUCAGUUCGGAUUGUAGGCUGCAACUCGCCUACAUGAAGUCGGAAUCGCUAGUAAUCGCGGAUCAGCACGCCGCGGUGAAUACGUUCCCGGGCCUU